Molecule: small nuclear RNA, 107 nt
Organism: Camelus dromedarius (Arabian camel)
Lineage: Eukaryota; Metazoa; Chordata; Mammalia; Artiodactyla; Camelidae
Source: Ensembl
AUGCUUAUUUCCGCAGCACAUCAACUAAAACUGGAAUGAUACUUCAAAGAUUAGUAUGGCCCCUGUACAAGUAUAACAUACAAGUUUGUAAAGCAUUCCACAUUUUU